UGCGCAGGCGGGCUUGUAAGUCAGUGGUGAAAUUCUGCCGCUUAACGGUAGAACUGCCAUUGAUACUGCAAGUCUUGAAUAUGGUUGAGGUAGGCGGAAUGUGUUGUGUAGCGGUGAAAUGCAUAGAUAUGACACAGAACGCCAAUUGCGAAGGCAGCUUACUAAGCCAUUAUUGACGCUGAGGCACGAAAGCGUGGGGAGCGAACAGGAUUAGAUACCCUGGUAGUCC
Molecule: ribosomal RNA, 229 nt
Filed under: uncultured bacterium
Lineage: Bacteria
Description: partial 16S ribosomal RNA
Rfam family: Bacterial small subunit ribosomal RNA
Source: RNAcentral